This 319-nucleotide long non-coding RNA is filed under the name Elaeis guineensis (African oil palm). RNAcentral's name for it is "long non-coding RNA (EGUI_LNC001861)". The record is from RNAcentral. Lineage: Eukaryota; Viridiplantae; Streptophyta; Magnoliopsida; Arecales; Arecaceae.
GAGGGUCUUGUCCAAGAAGUAUGUAAAUCGGGAUCCCCUUAGCCCCCUUUUCAUGGCUGAGAUAGCCAUGCCUUCGUUGAGGUCCCGGACCUCGAACGUGGCCGCAUUGAAUCGCGUCACGAAGUGUCGGAGCGUCUUAUUUUCUCCCUGCUUGAGGAAAAAAAGGCUGUCCGAGGUUCGUGGGGACUUCCGGCUAGUGCUGAAAUGGGCCACGAAAGCAUGUUCGAGCUGGCCGAAGGAGUGAAUGCUUUCCGAGCAGAGGCCGGAGUACCAGGCCCUGACGGCCUUGCAAAGUGUAGCGGAGAAGCCGAUGCAGAGA